RNAcentral lists this ribosomal RNA (253 nucleotides) under uncultured bacterium. Its description in RNAcentral is "partial 16S ribosomal RNA". It matches the Rfam family "Bacterial small subunit ribosomal RNA", at positions 524 to 776 of the family's 1533-position model. The record is from RNAcentral.
UACGUAGGGUGCGAGCGUUGUCCGGAAUUAUUGGGCGUAAAGAGCUCGUAGGCGGUCUGUCGCGUCGGCUGUGAAAACCCGGAGCUCAACUCCGGGCCUGCAGUCGAUACGGGCAGACUGGAGUUCGGCAGGGGAGACUGGAAUUCCUGGUGUAGCGGUGAAAUGCGCAGAUAUCAGGAGGAACACCGGUGGCGAAGGCGGGUCUCUGGGCCGAAACUGACGCUGAGGAGCGAAAGCGUGGGGAGCAAACAGG